This is a non-coding RNA of Lolium perenne, 3984 nucleotides long. Lineage: Eukaryota; Viridiplantae; Streptophyta; Magnoliopsida; Poales; Poaceae. The record is from RefSeq and is a predicted model, not a curated record.
UGGUUGAAAUUCUAGGUGAGAAGGUUGUCCUUCCUUUAUCCUCCAUAGUGUUAUGUGUUCUAGAUCAAACCUAACCAUCCAUAAAGUGACUCUCUGUUCUUUUAAAAAUGUUCCUUUUAACAAAACCUUGCACGUGCUUUGUUUUAUAAAAAAAAUCAAUAGUUUAGUAAUUGUAGCAGCUGAGCAAGAACGAUAUAGGGAGUCGACCUUGAACCUUGGUUCGUGCCCAUGAAAUCUUGUUGAAAUUCUAGUGAGGAUGCACGAGCGUUAGCGUUGCAUGAUUCAGUAUUCCAGUUACAAAGUUAAUAGUUUGGGUGCGGGAUGGAUUGGCCCCCAUACCACUUACCCUUAUUAUUUUCUCUUGUACGUUGGAGUGGGGAAUCACAUUGUUUUUCCUUAAUUAGUGGAGAGAUGAUGUUCAGUAGCUGGAACUAUAGAAUGGUAUGCCGUUCCACCUGUAGUAUAGGAGAUCUCUGCCAAGCGUUGGAGAUGGUGAAGCUAAAUCUUCGUCGUUUUAUGGUACAAGAUAUAUGCCCUUAUAGAAUACCAUGAGAGUUUUGGAUAGGUCAUGCGGUGUUUUUUUUUGGGGUUCCAAAGGUGAAAAAUGUUGAGCAUCAAGUGGGCAUGUAACAUCUAUAUUCUUCAUAAGGGUUUCAUGAUUUACCAAAGACAAGGAUGGGUUUUUAUGACCAAGAUACCAUGUUUUUUUUUCAAGUUCUUCGAGAAUAAAACAUGGAGUUUCACAUUGAUAUUAUUCCUGUCGCUCGACCUAUCUAUAUGUUUCCUUAUCGAUUGUGAUGACCAUGUUAAGAAGAGUUGAAGAAUCUACUGGAUUAUUGUUAUCCCAAGGUUUUGGUCAACUUAGUGUCUCACCUUAGGGAACACCCAUUUUCUUAUAACCAAGAAGUGUGUGGAUUGUUGUGUUCUAAACAUUGUAACAAUCAAGAGGAAAAAUGCAUUUCCUCACAUCGAGGACUUGUGUGAUGAGCUGAACAGAGUUGUGUUCUCCAAGAUUGAUCUCCUGCGUAGCCAUAAUAGAAUGGGAACAUGACAUUGAAAAGAUUUCAUCCUCCAUUAGGUAUGGGCAUUAUGAAAAUAGAGUUAUCUUCUGGACUAGCGAAUGCAAUUUCAUGAUGGGAACAAACCAUAUCGUGCAUAUGUUUCUAACUUCGUGGUAGUCUUCAUGUAUGAUAUACUCAUAUAUUCUAGGAAAAAAUAGUAGCAGUAAGCACCAUUGUGGCUUAUGCUUUAGACGUUGAGAAAUAGUAAAUUAUAUGCAAAUCUAAACAAACUUGAUUUUUGAUUUUUUUUGAAGUGGGUUUUCUUGAUAGUGUGUGCUCAUGCAAGAUGGAAAUACUAAAUUAAAAAUACAUGGGCAGGACUAUCGUACUCUUGAUCUAGAAUUUGCUUGUGUCAUCUUUGCACUAAAGAUUUGGGAGCAUUGUCUGUAUAGGGAGUCUUGUGAUAUUUUCACUCCUCAUAAGAGUCUCAAAUACCUCUUCACACAUGAGUUCCACUCGAGACAAAGUCGGUGGCUGGAAUUGAUAAGAGGACUAUGGCCUAUCUAUCUAGUACAACCUAGGCAGGCCAAAUGUGAUUCCAUACGCCCUUAGUCGGAUCUUCUUUUCUCCCACUAUAGAUUAUCUCAUGGCAUAUCUUUAAAGGAUGGCCAUCUCAUAUUGAUCUUCAGUGUGGCACAUGAGGAUACGUAGUUCUUUAUCUACCCAGAUACAUGAGGCGCAACACCUUGAUCAACCAAUACAUCAAGGGAGAUAGAACACAUUCAAAAAAAAAAGGUUGAACUGGAUAGUUCACAAUAGAUGGGACCAAGGCUGCUUGGUUGAAUGACCAUAUUUUUGUGCCACGAAAGUCUCAGGUGCAAGGUCAUUCAGAGCGAGGCACAUCGUACCCUAUAUACCAUUUUUAUUGGAGGGAUAAAGAUGUACGAUGAGCUGAAAAAGAAUUAUUUGUGGUAAACAAUGAAAUGUGUUGUGGACAAGUAUCUGUCCUAUUAUGAGGUUUGUUUAUGAGUGAAGGCUAAGUGUAAAAUACCAACGGGAUGGGUAGUAAUCCUUGGAGGUUCCAUAAUGGCCAUCAUAUAUUUUUUGUCCUACCUAGCAUGGGAAACACGCAUGAUGCAAUUUCGGUGGUUGGACAUCGACUUAUCAUAUUUUCCCAUUGUAUUCUUUCCCAAAACAAACUAAGUUCCUUGGCACCAAUAUAUGUGUAGAAGAUAGUAUAGUUGCAUGUUGUUUCUGAAACCAUUACUUGUGAUAGGGAUGCUAAGUUUGUAUCAAAAUCUUGGGAGAACUUGCAGAGUGCACUAGGUUUGCAAUUGAGACUUGGUAAUGCAUUUCAUUCCCGAACAAUUGGCCAGUUAGAGCGUAAAACUUUGGAAUGUGUGUAGAGACAUUAUGUCCUAACCUGGCAAGGGAGAUAGGAAGGUCACUUGUCACUUGUGGGGUUCUUUUAUAAUAAGAGCUGCCAGGAUCUCAUAGUAAUUGUAACAUACAAGGAUCUUUAUGGGAGAAAGUGUAGAUCUCCACUUUGUUGGAAUACCAUUGGAGUGUUGGGAGCAAAGUAGAUUCAGCGAACUAUAUAUUGGGUGCCUGAGAUUAGGCAACAAAUGGUAGCAACGCAUAGCAGAACAAGAGGUAGAGGGGGGACUUCAAGGUAGCGAGGAGGCAUUCUUAAUAGUGUUGCCCACUAAAGGGGUUAUAAGAUUUAACAUCAAAGGAAAGCUUAGUCCGCGGUACAUUGGACCUUUCAUGAUAGUGGCACGAGUAGGAAAGUUGGCCUACCGACUUGAGUUGCCCGAGACAAUGAAAGGCGUGCAUAAUAUUUUCCAUGUCUCUAUGCUGCGGAAGCAUUUUCGUGAUCCAGAACGACAAAUAACCAUGGAACUAUUUACGAAUGAGCAAGAUUUAACCUUUGAGGUUCGCCCUGUGAGGAUACUAGAUGAGUCCAAGCGAGUGAUGAGGAAUAGGUCGUUAAAGUAAGUGAAGGUUCUUUGGUCGCAACAAACCGAGCGUGAGGCGACUUGGGAGCUUGAAUCUCGCAUGCGUGAGAAAUAUCCAGAAUUGUUCAUGACUGGUAUGUGAUUCAUGAUUGUGUUUUUAUAUGUUAUGAGGAAGAAUUCGGGGUCGAAUUCUGUUUAAGGGGGUAAGAAUGUAAUAUCCCAAAUUUUUGAAGCUAAUUUUCUGGACAUAUUUAAGAAAAAGAAAAAAAAUAACUUUGAGGAUAGUUUAAUUAUGCUUUUUAGGAAUACGAAGUGUUAGAGAAAAGAAAAGAAAAAGGGAAGAAAGAAAUAUAGUAAGUUUGUGCUUGAUCUGGCAAUCUACUUUUAUUUUUAGAGCUGUAUAGUUGGACGUAAAAAACUAGUCUGGUUCCCUGUAUCUUCCUAUUACGUGAAGCAAGUGACGGGUUGGGCUGGGCUUAUUGUUGUUUCCGAUCUGGGCUUGUACAAUGUUUGUGUCUCCCUGUAUGUUAGGGCAGAGUUGAAAGGCGUCGCCACGAUCUGCCCUGUAGUAUCCCAGUGCUAGCGCCCAGGCCGCCGCCGCUGCGUUUCCCCCAUUGAGCGCUGUCGCCGUUUGGUUGUCGUCGCCGCUGCUGCAAGGCCUCGACGGCGUCCUCCGCGGAUAGGCUCGUCUCUGCGUGGAACCCUCUCGCCAAGAGCUGCAAGGUGGUCGGGUGUUGUUACUUCUGGUACGGAGUCCUACAAUCAACAGUUAAUGCCCCGUGGUUGAGGUAAACCUUGAGGACGCCAUGCAUGGGGAGUUUUGGGAGUAGCACCUUCACCAUAUACACAUCACGAUUCUUAUUUUUGUCACCAAUCUGUUUGAACUAAGCAUUUGAUAGUUGGAUUUAGCUUUGUCAUAAACGGUCAUGGGGUUUGUGUUGGACAUGGUUACCGAUAUUGUGUGCAGAUAAUAGUUUCUAUAGUUGUGGUAUCGCAGCUUUAUACAUGAUUGAACAUUACGCUUA